Molecule: ribosomal RNA, 484 nt
Filed under: uncultured bacterium
Lineage: Bacteria
Description: partial 16S ribosomal RNA
Rfam family: Bacterial small subunit ribosomal RNA
Source: RNAcentral
AUUGAACGCUGGCGGCAGGCCUAACACAUGCAAGUCGAGCGGAUGAAGGGAGCUUGCUCCUGGAUUCAGCGGCGGACGGGUGAGUAAUGCCUAGGAAUCUGCCUGGUAGUGGGGGAUAACGUCCGGAAACGGGCGCUAAUACCGCAUACGUCCUGAGGGAGAAAGUGGGGGAUCUUCGGACCUCACGCUAUCAGAUGAGCCUAGGUCGGAUUAGCUAGUUGGUGGGGUAAAGGCCUACCAAGGCGACGAUCCGUAGCUGGUGUGAGAGGAUGAUCAGUCACACUGGAACUGAGACACGGUCCAGACUCCUACGGGAGGCAGCAGUGGGGAAUAUUGGACAAUGGGCGAAAGCCUGAUCCAGCCAUGCCGCGUGUGUGAAGAAGGUCUUCGGAUUGUAAAGCACUUUAAGUUGGGAGGAAGGGCAGUAAGUUAAUACCUUGCUGUUUUGGCGUUACCAACAGAAUAAGCACCGGCUAACUUCGUG